ACAAAAAAAUAAAGAGAAAGCAAAACAAAAUGACUCAGAAAUACACAAAAUGAACUAAAAGAGACAGAAAAGGAACAGAAAGAGACACAAAAUGAUGGAAAACAACUACAAAACAUGUAAAAUGAACACAGAAAGAGACACUAAACUAAACGUAUCUUUAUCCAACACACUUUGCCAACAAACAUAUUUUUCCAGCCGCUCAUCACCUGAGCAACAUAGUUCUCACAGAAAGAGAAAAUAAACACACAGUGGUGUCAUGUAGCUGAGAAAAAGAACCACAUGGAUGUUUUUUAACAGAAUCUGAGGCCGUGGAGCAGCAGUAAGGUGUAAUAACCUUUCUGGACUGUGGUUUAAAUGAUUCCAGACUGAGUUCUUUAUGUUUUUUAGACUGUAAAGCAGCAGUAAGGUGUAAUAACCUUUCUGGACUGUGGUUUAAAUGAUUCCAGACUGAGUUCUUUAUGUUUUUUUAGACUGUAAAGCAGCAGUAAGGUGUAAUAACCUUUCUGGACUGUGGUUUAAAUGAUUCCAGACUGAGUUCUUUAUGUUUUUUUAGACUGUAAAGCAGCAGUAAGGUGUAAUAACCUUUCUGGACUGUGGUUUAAAUGAUUCCAGACUGAGUUCUUUAUGUUUUUUAGACUGUAGAGCAGCAGUAAGGUGUAAUAACCUUUCUGGACUGUGGUUUAAAUGAUUCCAGACUGAGUUCUUUAUGUUUUUUUAGACUGUAAAGCAGCAGUAAGGUGUAAUAACCUUUCUGGACUGUGGUUUAAAUGAUUCCAGACUGAGUUCUUUAUGUUUUUUAGACUGUAGAGCAGCAGUAAGGUGUAAUAACCUUUCUGGACUGUGGUUGAAAUGAUUCCAGACUGAGUUCUUUAUGUGUUUUUUAGACUGUAGAGCAGCAGUAAGGUGUAAUAACCUUUCUGGACUGUGGUUUAAAUGAUUCCAGACUGAAUUCUUUAUGGUUUUUUUUAGACUGUAGAGCAGCAGUAAGGUGUAAUAACCUUUCUGGACUGUGGUUUAAAUGAUUCCAGACUGAGUUCUUUAUGUUUUUUUAGACUGUAAAGCAGCAGUAAGGUGUAAUAACCUUUCUGGACUGUAGUUUAAAUGAUUCCAGACUGAGUUCUUUAUGUUUUUUUAGACUGUAGAGCAGCAGUAAGGUGUAAUAACCUUUCUGGACUGUGGUUUAAAUGAUUCCAGACUGAGUUCUUUAUGUUUUUUUAGACUGUAGAGCAGCAGUAGGGUGUAAUAACCUUUCUGGACUGUGGUUUAAAUGAU
Molecule: long non-coding RNA, 1272 nt
Organism: Acanthochromis polyacanthus (spiny chromis)
Lineage: Eukaryota; Metazoa; Chordata; Actinopteri; Pomacentridae
Exons: 3
Source: RefSeq, a predicted model, not a curated record